UUUAUGGAGAGUUUGAUCCUGGCUCAGGAUGAACGCUGGCGGCGUGCCUAAUACAUGCAAGUCGAGCGAACGGACGAGAAGCUUGCUUCUCUGAUGUUAGCGGCGGACGGGUGAGUAACACGUGGAUAACCUACCUAUAAGACUGGGAUAACUUCGGGAAACCGGAGCUAAUACCGGAUAAUAUUUUGAACC
Molecule: ribosomal RNA, 192 nt
Filed under: Staphylococcus aureus
Lineage: Bacteria; Bacillati; Bacillota; Bacilli; Caryophanales; Staphylococcaceae
Description: partial 16S ribosomal RNA
Rfam family: Bacterial small subunit ribosomal RNA
Source: RNAcentral